UAUUUGAGUAAUGAUUUUCAGUAGAGAUCAAUGGGUAUUUAUGGGCAAUAUGUUGAAGCUCUCCAAUGUUAUAUGAAAACAGAGCACACUUGACGUGAAGGUCUAAACGAUAAGGACAAUGAUAAAUAAAUUUCUCACACCUUUUUUCGCAGAAAUAGCGAUUACACCAAUAUCCAAUAUAUGGUGGGCUUGCUACAAGUUUAAGACUGGUUGCAAUGAAAGGGGUGAUUCAUCUCCAAAGGUGCCCAAGCACAGAUCUUGUCAAGGAGAAACCUGCAUGCCACGCAGCUAUACGCUGGACCCAACACCGCCUCCCCACAACCAUUGCAUUGUAAAGCCUUCUCAUUACUUUCAUGGCUUGGCUCUUCAGUGAAAACCAGAGGAUGAAUAUGGCUAGGAUGUUGAAAUUCCAUCUCUCCUUUCUUUCUAUGUAAGU
RNAcentral lists this long non-coding RNA (436 nucleotides) under Theobroma cacao (cacao). RNAcentral's name for it is "long non-coding RNA (TCAC_LNC005753)". Lineage: Eukaryota; Viridiplantae; Streptophyta; Magnoliopsida; Malvales; Malvaceae. The record is from RNAcentral.